This 468-nucleotide ribosomal RNA is filed under the name uncultured bacterium. RNAcentral's name for it is "partial 16S ribosomal RNA". It matches the Rfam family "Bacterial small subunit ribosomal RNA", at positions 28 to 507 of the family's 1533-position model. The record is from RNAcentral.
GACGAACGCUGGCGGCGUGCUUAACACAUGCAAGUCGAACGGAAAGGCCCUGCUUUUGUGGGGUGCUCGAGUGGCGAACGGGUGAGUAAUACGUGAGUAACCUGCCCUUGACUUUGGGAUAACUUCAGGAAACUGGGGCUAAUACUGGAUAGGAGCUCCUGCUGCAUGGUGGGGGUUGGAAAGUUUCGGCGGUUGGGGAUGGACUCGCGGCUUAUCAGCUUGUUGGUGGGGUAGUGGCUUACCAAGGCUUUGACGGGUAGCCGGCCUGAGAGGGUGACCGGCCACAUUGGGACUGAGAUACGGCCCAGACUCCUACGGGAGGCAGCAGUGGGGAAUAUUGCACAAUGGGCGGAAGCCUGAUGCAGCAACGCCGCGUGCGGGAUGACGGCCUUCGGGUUGUAAACCGCUUUCGCCUGUGACGAAGCGUGAGUGACGGUAAUGGGUAAAGAAGCACCGGCUAACUACGUG